AAGAGCGGAAAAGCAUCACUGGACCAGCCACGAGAGCACGGUGAAGGAUGCAGCUGUAUCCAUGUUUUGUUCAUGAGAUCCGUCUCCCCAAAGUUACUAAGAAGGGGUUCUUGCAUCCAUCUCAGGAGACACACCUCCCUCUGCUGUUCAUCCUCUGGACCAGAGCAACCAGUGUGCAUAUGGAGAAGACAUCAUUUGUCGUAGCAUUGUCCAAAGGAGGCGGCACAGGUUGGGACAUCAGCAGCUGGAAGAAUCAGCACUAAUCUAAGCAUCUAAGGUGUGGAAGCAGCCUAAAUGCUCAUGGAACUGGUCCCCUGGCUGAAUCCACAAUGAAUUCAAGCCCAAAGGCAAUCUCCUAGCAGAGUUCCUUUGAAGGAGAUUGGUUUUCUUUCCAAUGUUCAAGCAUGAAGAGUGAUCUGGCAGGCCAGUACCUUCCACCUUCACCCUUCUGUGAGGUUUGCACAGCAUAAGAAGACGCUCUGAUUGUGCAGAUAUGAGGUGGUCGUGCCCAGAGCUCAGAGGCCCUACUAUCGCUCCCAGGAAACGAGCUCAAGAAAGAAGCUGUCCCUGACACUCCAGAGAGAAGUUAUAAGGGCAGGCCAGUACUUUCCACCUUCACCCUUCUGUGAGGUUUGCAAGCUCCUCUGAAGACCUCAGAAGAAGAAAGUUCUCAUCACCUGUAGAAGGGCCUUUCAGAGAAAAACUGCAAAAUUAUUACCACUGGGGAGGUGCCAAACUUGAUUUUUGGAGCACAGCCUGAUUUUUUUCAAGUACAUCAAGGCUUUCAUCAAUGCUGAGAGAAUGUCCUAUCAGCAGCAGCAACAAAUGCAAACUUCCCUGCCAGCCCCCUCCUCAGGUCCUGCAGCCGUGUCUUCCCAAGGUGGCUGAGCCUUGUCCUCCCAGAAUACCUGAGUCCUGCCCUCCAACCUCAGCCAGCAGAAGUGCCCUCUGUGCAGCAUCCUGCAUGCCAAUAGAAAUGCCUGCCAAAGCAGAAACAAAACAUCAGAAGCCACCACAUCCUUUAGGACCACAUCCUUCUGGACAGGAAGGUGCCAAGUCCUCUCCCUACCAGUGCGCUACUCCCUUCUUUUAGCAACCAUAAAGAAUGACACACAGCCCAGGAAAAUCGACCUCUCGGCUGACCCAAGGAGAAUGAUACCUCCAUUCAAGGUUUUCUUGUAGUGGAUCAGCAGAUCCCUCUGAGCUUCAACCUGUAGCAACCGACAGAGAAUAAUAGAAGUAUUAUGCGACAAAGCUUCCCCUGGAGCCUUAUGAACUGUAUUCACUGUGGCCAGGGCAAGCUGCUCUUCCAGCCGCUCCCUCCCCAGCCCUACUGCUUCUGCUAGUCUGAGAAGAACAUUAAAGUCAGGGAGUCUCAGCGAUGCCCCUGAGGCUCUGAGAAGCCAAAAGGCAUUAACUGCCUUGAGUGGAAAACUACCCCAACUUCCUGCCUUCCCUUACUUGUUAAUUAGUAUGGUGAAAUCUAUUUCAAAUCACCAAUUCUUUAUUUGUAAAGGCAGCUGACUUUGCCUCUGGACUUUAAGCCUGGAAGCUCCUAGCCCUUUGUGAUACUCUCACUUUUAACUUCCCUCUCUUUCAAUAAAUCCAGUUGCUCGCGUGUG
Chinchilla lanigera (long-tailed chinchilla) is the source of this 1622-nucleotide long non-coding RNA. RefSeq lists it as uncharacterized. The transcript is spliced from 8 exons. The record is from RefSeq and is a predicted model, not a curated record. Lineage: Eukaryota; Metazoa; Chordata; Mammalia; Rodentia; Chinchillidae.